AGCCAAGAUGGCCGAAUAGGAACAGCUCCGGUCUACAGCUCCCAGCGCGAGCGACGCAGAAGACGGGUGAUUUCUGCAUUUCCAUCUGAGUGGAACUUCAGUUCAGAUGAUGCAAUGAAAGCUGCAGACCUGGGAUCUGAAAAAUUUGCACUCCAUGGUUUGAUUUGUAAAUUAACAUUAACGACAUCAUCACUCACUCUCUCAUGGGGAGAGAGACAGAAGAAGGAUGGGAAGAGGAGAAUGCAUUUCCAAGAGGGAAUGACCUGCAAACCAUGCCAACUCUUUCUAACUUGAACAACUGGCAAGAUAAAAAUGAACAUGAAAUGUUGAGAACAACCACCAAGAAAAGGCUAUAACCAUUGUUCACUGUCUUUCCUUUCAGCACAAUAAAAUAAAAGGAGAUU
Molecule: long non-coding RNA, 404 nt
Organism: Pongo pygmaeus (Bornean orangutan)
Lineage: Eukaryota; Metazoa; Chordata; Mammalia; Primates; Hominidae
Exons: 4
Source: RefSeq, a predicted model, not a curated record